CAGGACAGGUCAGCACAGGCAGCAACAGAGCAAGCUUUCCCCAUACCUUCCAUCUAUGCAUGUUAACUCUGACCUGGAGGGAUCUCCUCUAUA
Molecule: unclassified non-coding RNA, 93 nt
Organism: Ictidomys tridecemlineatus (thirteen-lined ground squirrel)
Lineage: Eukaryota; Metazoa; Chordata; Mammalia; Rodentia; Sciuridae
Source: Ensembl